UACGUAGGGGGCAAGCGUUGUCCGGAAUUAUUGGGCGUAAAGGGCGCGCAGGCGGUCUCUUAAGUCUGGUGUAUAAGCCCGUGUCUCAACCACGGGACGCACGGGAAACUGGGGGACUGGAGUGCAGGAGAGGAAAGUGGAAUUCCACGUGUAGCGGUGAAAUGCGUAGAGAUGUGGAGGAACACCAGUGGCGAAGGCGACUUUCUGGCCUGUAACUGACGCUGAGGCGCGAAAGCGUGGGGAGCGAACA
This 250-nucleotide ribosomal RNA is filed under the name uncultured prokaryote. Its description in RNAcentral is "partial 16S ribosomal RNA". It matches the Rfam family "Bacterial small subunit ribosomal RNA", at positions 524 to 774 of the family's 1533-position model. The record is from RNAcentral.